Molecule: long non-coding RNA, 246 nt
Filed under: Solanum tuberosum (potato)
Lineage: Eukaryota; Viridiplantae; Streptophyta; Magnoliopsida; Solanales; Solanaceae
Description: long non-coding RNA (STUB_LNC005954)
Source: RNAcentral
GUCAAUGAUGGUAUCAAGAUUACCUCAAAAUAGAGGUGUUACAAGUGUGAAAUUGAAUUUAGCUAUCUCUGUAGCAUUAAAACAAGUUGCUGGCAAAUUGACAGUUGUUAAAGAAGCAUUGAUAGCUGAUCGGGGCUGAAGCUAUUUGCUAAAGAUGAUUGUUAAGCUGUUGAUAAUUUUUGAGUAGCCAAUAUUGGAUGGGGCAAUGAUGGUAAAGUUGGUAGGAAGACAUCAAAGAACAUACUA